CAUGCAAGUCGAACGAACUCUGGUAUUGAUUGGUGCUUGCAUCAUGAUUUACAUUUGAGUGAGUGGCGAACUGGUGAGUAACACGUGGGAAACCUGCCCAGAAGCGGGGGAUAACACCUGGAAACAGAUGCUAAUACCGCAUAACAACUUGGACCGCAUGGUCCGAGUUUGAAAGAUGGCUUCGGCUAUCACUUUUGGAUGGUCCCGCGGCGUAUUAGCUAGAUGGUGAGGUAACGGCUCACCAUGGCAAUGAUACGUAGCCGACCUGAGAGGGUAAUCGGCCACAUUGGGACUGAGACACGGCCCAAACUCCUACGGGAGGCAGCAGUAGGGAAUCUUCCACAAUGGACGAAAGUCUGAUGGAGCAACGCCGCGUGAGUGAAGAAGGGUUUCGGCUCGUAAAACUCUGUUGUUAAAGAAGAACAUAUCUGAGAGUAACUGUUCAGGUAUUGACGGUAUUUAACCAGAAAGCCACGGCUAACUACGUGCCAGCAGCCGCGGUAAUACGUAGGUGGCAAGCGUUGUCCGGAUUUAUUGGGCGUAAAGCGAGCGCAGGCGGUUUUUUAAGUCUGAUGUGAAAGCCUUCGGCUCAACCGAAGAAGUGCAUCGGAAACUGGGAAACUUGAGUGCAGAAGAGGACAGUGGAACUCCAUGUGUAGCGGUGAAAUGCGUAGAUAUAU
This 680-nucleotide ribosomal RNA is filed under the name Lactiplantibacillus plantarum. RNAcentral describes it as "bacterial SSU rRNA". It matches the Rfam family "Bacterial small subunit ribosomal RNA", at positions 54 to 699 of the family's 1533-position model. The record is from RNAcentral. Lineage: Bacteria; Bacillati; Bacillota; Bacilli; Lactobacillales; Lactobacillaceae.